Molecule: ribosomal RNA, 492 nt
Filed under: uncultured bacterium
Lineage: Bacteria
Description: partial 16S ribosomal RNA
Rfam family: Bacterial small subunit ribosomal RNA
Source: RNAcentral
AGUGAACGCUGGCGGUAUGCCUAACACAUGCAAGUCGAACGGCAGCAGACUAAGAGCUUGCUCUUACUGGUGGCGAGUGGCGGACGGGUGAGGAAUACAUCGGAAUCUACUUUUUCGGGGGGGAUUAAGAAGGGAAACUUACUGUAAUACCGCAUACGACCUACGGGUGAAAGGAGCGGAUGUUCGGAGCUUGCGCGAUCUAUCGAUACGACGUUGGAUUACUUUGUUGGCGGGGUAAAGGCCUACCAAGGCGAAGAAAGGUAGCUGACCUGAGAGGAUGAUCGGCCACAUUGGAACUGAGACACGGCCCAGACUCCUACGGGAGGCAGCAGUAGGGAAUAUUCCGCAAUGGGCGCAAGCCUGACGCAGCAACGCCGCGUGAGUGAAGAAGGUCUUCGGAUCGUAAAGCCCUUUUGUUAGGGAAGAACAGCGCAUAGAUAAUCUGUCACUCUUGUGACAGUACCUAACGAGAAAGCCACGGCUAACUUCGUG